Armigeres subalbatus is the source of this 404-nucleotide long non-coding RNA. RefSeq lists it as uncharacterized. The record is from RefSeq and is a predicted model, not a curated record. The transcript has 4 exons. NCBI's taxonomy places the organism in Eukaryota, Metazoa, Arthropoda, Insecta, Diptera, Culicidae.
GAAAAGCAUAAAUUUAUUUACCUUAGAUUCUGGGUUUCCUAUAAAUAGGAGAUAAAUCCCAGAAUCGUUCUCUUUUGGCUGGUGAAUCUAGAACGGUCUAGAAGUGCGCGCGUGUGUAGCUUUUUAUUAAAUAGAGGUGUUAGUCAGUUAGUAAAAACGGCUAAUUGUAGUACGUCGAAUUAAAAUUGUGUUAGUAAAAGUUAUCAUUGUAAAAAUCCGAUUGUUAAAAGUUAAUUGUUCAAACACAAACAUCGACAAACAAGAAGAAACUAUAAGAAAAAGGUCCGAGGCAAGGGCCUUUUUCUUUUAUUUUGGGCUUUUUCCCAGCAAACGGCCGGAGAAAGCGACGAUGAGCCACCUCGAGCGAUGCACAAAAGCCAAUGCCAGCCAUAAGACGCCAUUGU